GCUAGGUAUAGCUCAAUGGUAGAGUGUUUGCCUAACAUGUGUGAUGCCCUGGGGUCAAUCCCCAGCACUGCA
Molecule: transfer RNA, 72 nt
Filed under: Marmota monax (woodchuck)
Lineage: Eukaryota; Metazoa; Chordata; Mammalia; Rodentia; Sciuridae
Description: tRNA.Val
Source: RNAcentral